Long non-coding RNA from Puntigrus tetrazona (Sumatra barb), 376 nucleotides. RefSeq lists it as uncharacterized. The transcript is spliced from 3 exons. The record is from RefSeq and is a predicted model, not a curated record. NCBI's taxonomy places the organism in Eukaryota, Metazoa, Chordata, Actinopteri, Cypriniformes, Cyprinidae.
GUUCAGCUGUGCUGACUUUGAGAAAGGAGAUUUCCUGCUGGAAUAUAGAGGGGACCUCAUAGAUAAAGAAGAAUGUGAACGGAGGCAAAGGAUAUAUCAUGAUGCACUUAAAGUUUAUAUAUUUGAGUUUCGCUAUAAUGGAAAGCUUCUCUGCAUUGACGCAGCCCGGGAUGAUGGUAAACGAUGACCAUAUUAACCCAAACAGCAGGAUGAGAACUAUCUCUGUGGAUGGAAAACCUCACUCAAAGAGCAUCUGUCCUGGUGAAGAGAGAACUGCUUCUGACUGGCCAUGGCGAUGCACGAAAAUGAAAGCGAGCCAGAAACUGAAAAACCACGAAGAGGGCAAAAAGUGGCAUGAUCAAAUGUUGAAAUUACA